RNAcentral lists this ribosomal RNA (455 nucleotides) under uncultured bacterium. RNAcentral's name for it is "SSU rRNA". It matches the Rfam family "Bacterial small subunit ribosomal RNA", at positions 26 to 518 of the family's 1533-position model. The record is from RNAcentral.
AGGAUAAACGCUGGCGGCGUGCCUAACACAUGCAAGUCGAACGCCCUUGAGCAAUCAAGGGAGUGGCGGACGGGUGAGUAACACGUGGGUACCUACCCCAAGGUGAGGAAUACCGGCGAGAAAUCGCCGACAAUACCGCAUAGGCUUCGUAAGAAGCAAAGCUCGCAAGGGCGCCAUGGGAAGGGCCUGCGGCCGAUUAGCUAGUUGGUGAGGUAAAAGCUCACCAAGGCGACGAUCGGUAGCUGGUCUGAGAGGAUGAUCAGCCACACUGGGAUUGAGAACGGCCCAGACUCCUACGGGGGGCAGCAGUGAGGAAUUUUCGUCAAUGGGGGAAACCCUGAACGAGCAACGCCGCGUGCAGGAAGAAGGUUUUCGGAUCGUAAACUGCUUUUCUCUGGGACGAGAACGGACGGUACCAGAGGAAUCAGCCCCGGCUAACUACGUGCAGCAGCCGC